CAGCCGCCGCGGGAAUACGUAGGUGGCAAGCGUUGUCCGGAAUUAUUGGGCGUAAAGCGCGCGCAGGUGGUUUAAUAAGUCUGAUGUGAAAGCCCACGGCUCAACCGUGGAGGGUCAUUGGAAACUGUUAAACUUGAGUGCAGGAGAGAAAAGUGGAAUUCCUAGUGUAGCGGUGAAAUGCGUAGAGAUUAGGAGGAACACCAGUGGCGAAGGCGGCUUUUUGGCCUGUAACUGACACUGAGGCGCGAAAGCGUGGGGAGCGAAUGGGAUUAGAGACCCCUGUAGUCCCUGUCUCUUAUAA
Molecule: ribosomal RNA, 301 nt
Filed under: uncultured bacterium
Lineage: Bacteria
Description: partial 16S ribosomal RNA
Rfam family: Bacterial small subunit ribosomal RNA
Source: RNAcentral